GACGAACGCUGGCGGCGUGCCUAACACAUGCAAGUCGAACGGAAAGGCCCUGCUUUUGUGGGGUGCUCGAGUGGCGAACGGGUGAGUAACACGUGAGUAACCUGCCCUUGACUUUGGGAUAACUUCAGGAAACUGGGGCUAAUACCGGAUAGGAGCUCCUGCUGCAUGGUGGGGGUUGGAAAGUUUCGGCGGUUGGGGAUGGACUCGCGGCUUAUCAGCUUGUUGGUGGGGUAGUGGCUUACCAAGGCUUUGACGGGUAGCCGGCCUGAGAGGGUGACCGGCCACAUUGGGACUGAGAUACGGCCCAGACUCCUACGGGAGGCAGCAGUGGGGAAUAUUGCACAAUGGGCGGAAGCCUGAUGCAGCAACGCCGCGUGCGGGAUGACGGCCUUCGGGUUGUAAACCGCUUUCGCCUGUGACGAAGCGUGAGUGACGGUAAUGGGUAAAGAAGCACCGGCUAACUACGUGCCAGCAGCCGCGGUGAUACGUAGGGUGCGAGCGUUGUCCGGAUUUAUUGGGCGUAAAGGGCUCGUAGGUGGUUGAUCGCGUCGGAAGUGUAAUCUUGGGGCUUAACCCUGAGCGUGCUUUCGAUACGGGUUGACUUGAGGAAGGUAGGGGAGAAUGGAAUUCCUGGUGGAGCGGUGGAAUGCGCAGAUAUCAGGAGGAACACCAGUGGCGAAGGCGGUUCUCUGGGCCUUUCCUGACGCUGAGGAGCGAAAGCGUGGGGAGCGAACAGGCUUAGAUACCCUGGUAGUCCACGCUGUAAACGGUGGGUACUAGGUGUGGGGUCCAUUCCACGGGUUCCGUGCCGUAGCUAACGCUUUAAGUACCCCGCCUGGGGAGUACGGCCGCAAGGCUAAAACUCAAAGGAAUUGACGGGGCCCCGCACAAGCGGCGGAGCAUGCGGAUUAAUUCGAUGCAACGCGUAGAACCUUACCUGGGUUUGACAUGGAUCGGGAGUGCUCAGAGAUGGGUGUGCCUCUUUUGGGGUCGGUUCACAGGUGGUGCAUGGCUGUCGUCAGCUCGUGUCGUGAGAUGUUGGGUUAAGUCCCGCAACGAGCGCAACCCUUGUUCACUGUUGCCAGCACGUUAUGGUGGGGACUCAGUGGAGACCGCCGGGGUCAACUCGGAGGAAGGUGGGGAUGACGUCAAGUCAUCAUGCCCCUUAUGUCCAGGGCUUCACGCAUGCUACAAUGGCUGGUACAGAGAGUGGCGAGCCUGUGAGGGUGAGCGAAUCUCGGAAAGCCGGUCUCAGUUCGGAUUGGGGUCUGCAACUCGACCUCAUGAAGUCGGAGUCGCUAGUAAUCGCAGAUCAGCAACGCUGCGGUGAAUACGUUCCCGGGGCU
This 1346-nucleotide ribosomal RNA is filed under the name uncultured bacterium. RNAcentral's name for it is "partial 16S ribosomal RNA". It matches the Rfam family "Bacterial small subunit ribosomal RNA", at positions 28 to 1381 of the family's 1533-position model. The record is from RNAcentral.